This is a long non-coding RNA of Motacilla alba alba, 225 nucleotides long. RefSeq lists it as uncharacterized. The transcript has 3 exons. NCBI's taxonomy places the organism in Eukaryota, Metazoa, Chordata, Aves, Passeriformes, Motacillidae. The record is from RefSeq and is a predicted model, not a curated record.
UCUGACUGGGCUUUCCAAAGGUGGUAAGAGAGACACAAUUUCCAAGAAAACAUCACUCCUUUCUUCUUUCAGGAAAACAAGAUACUUGGGAUUCCUGGGUUCCUCUUCUGACUUAGACAUUAAUUCACUGUCUGGCCUUAGCUCGCUAACAGCGACAGCCAUGAAAAUGAAUGAUUUGGCUUCACCCAAAAUGAUGGAUAAUCCUGCUGGAAGAGCAUGACAAUG